This 460-nucleotide ribosomal RNA is filed under the name uncultured bacterium. Its description in RNAcentral is "partial 16S ribosomal RNA". It matches the Rfam family "Bacterial small subunit ribosomal RNA", at positions 338 to 795 of the family's 1533-position model. The record is from RNAcentral.
CCUACGGGUGGCAGCAGUGAGGAAUAUUGGUCAAUGGGCGUAAGCCUGAACCAGCCAAGUCGCGUGAGGGAUGAAGGUUCUAUGGAUCGUAAACCUCUUUUAUAAGGGAAUAAAGUGCGGGACGUGUCCCGUUUUGUAUGUACCUUAUGAAUAAGGAUCGGCUAACUCCGUGCCAGCAGCCGCGGUAAUACGGAGGAUCCGAGCGUUAUCCGGAUUUAUUGGGUUUAAAGGGUGCGUAGGCGGCCUUUUAAGUCAGCGGUGAAAGUCUGUGGCUCAACCAUAGAAUUGCCGUUGAAACUGGGAGGCUUGAGUAUGUUUGAGGCAGGCGGAAUGCGUGGUGUAGCGGUGAAAUGCUUAGAUAUCACGAAGAACCCCGAUUGCGAAGGCAGCCUGCCGCAGCGUUACUGACGCUGAAGCUCGAAAGCGCGGGUAUCGAACAGGAUUAGAUACCCGGGUAGUC